Molecule: ribosomal RNA, 599 nt
Filed under: uncultured eukaryote
Lineage: Eukaryota
Description: SSU rRNA
Rfam family: Eukaryotic small subunit ribosomal RNA
Source: RNAcentral
GUUAAAAAGCUCGUAGUUGGAUUUCUGUCGAGGGCGGGCGGUCCGCACUAUGUGCGUGUAUCUUGUUCGGUCUUGGCAUCCUCUUGGGGAAUGCUUCUGUGCUUGAUUGCAUGGGGUGGAAUUCAGGACUUUCACUUUGAGGAAAUUAGAGUGUUCACGGCAAGCUACCGCUUUGAAUACAUUAGCAUGGAAUAAUAAUAUAGGGCGUAAGUUCUAUUUUGUUGGUUUCUAGGACAUACGCAAUGAUUAAUAGGGACAAUUGGGGGCAUUCGUAUUAACGCGUCAGAGGUGGAAUUCUUAGAUUGCGUUACGACGAACUACUGCGAAAGCAUUUGCCAAAGAUGUUUUCAUUGAUCAAGAACGAAAGUAUGGGGAUCGAAGACGAUUAGAUACCGUCGUAGUCUAUACCAUAAACUAUGCCAAUUAGAGAUUGGGCGUCGUUCGUUUUAUGACUCGCUCAGCACCUUAUGAGAAAUCAAAAUUUUUGGGUUCCGGGGGGGGUAUGGUCGCAAGGCUGAAACUUAAAGGAAUUGACGGAAGGGCACCACCAGGAGUGGAGCCUGCGGCUUAAUUUGACUCAACACGGGAAAAACUUACCA